GCGUACACGGUGGAUGCCCUGGCAGUCAGAGGCGAUGAAGGACGUGCUAAUCUGCGAUAAGCGUCGGUAAGGUGAUAUGAACCGUUAUAACCGGCGAUUUCCGAAUGGGGAAACCCAGUGUGAUUCGUCACACUAUCAUUAACUGAAUCCAUAGGUUAAUGAGGCGAACCGGGGGAACUGAAACAUCUAAGUACCCCGAGGAAAAGAAAUCAACCGAGAUUCCCCCAGUAGCGGCGAGCGAACGGGGAGCAGCCCAGAGCCUGAAUCAGUGUGUGUGUUAGUGGAAGCGUCUGGAAAGGCGCGCGAUACAGGGUGACAGCCCCGUACACAAAAAUGCACAUGCUGUGAGCUCGAUGAGUAGGGCGGGACACGUGGUAUCCUGUCUGAAUAUGGGGGGACCAUCCUCCAAGGCUAAAUACUCCUGACUGACCGAUAGUGAACCAGUACCGUGAGGGAAAGGCGAAAAGAACCCCGGCGAGGGGAGUGAAAAAGAACCUGAAACCGUGUACGUACAAGCAGUGGGAGCACGCUUAGGCGUGUGACUGCGUACCUUUUGUAUAAUGGGUCAGCGACUUAUAUUCUGUAGCAAGGUUAACCGAAUAGGGGAGCCGAAGGGAAACCGAGUCUUAACUGGGCGUUAAGUUGCAGGGUAUAGACCCGAAACCCGGUGAUCUAGCCAUGGGCAGGUUGAAGGUUGGGUAACACUAACUGGAGGACCGAACCGACUAAUGUUGAAAAAUUAGCGGAUGACUUGUGGCUGGGGGUGAAAGGCCAAUCAAACCGGGAGAUAGCUGGUUCUCCCCGAAAGCUAUUUAGGUAGCGCCUCGUGAAUUCAUCUCCGGGGGUAGAGCACUGUUUCGGCAAGGGGGUCAUCCCGACUUACCAACCCGAUGCAAACUGCGAAUACCGGAGAAUGUUAUCACGGGAGACACACGGCGGGUGCUAACGUCCGUCGUGAAGAGGGAAACAACCCAGACCGCCAGCUAAGGUCCCAAAGUCAUGGUUAAGUGGGAAACGAUGUGGGAAGGCCCAGACAGCCAGGAUGUUGGCUUAGAAGCAGCCAUCAUUUAAAGAAAGCGUAAUAGCUCACUGGUCGAGUCGGCCUGCGCGGAAGAUGUAACGGGGCUAAACCAUG
RNAcentral lists this ribosomal RNA (1135 nucleotides) under Escherichia coli. RNAcentral's name for it is "partial 23S ribosomal RNA". It matches the Rfam family "Bacterial large subunit ribosomal RNA", at positions 15 to 1191 of the family's 2925-position model. The record is from RNAcentral. Lineage: Bacteria; Pseudomonadati; Pseudomonadota; Gammaproteobacteria; Enterobacterales; Enterobacteriaceae.